AUUGAACGCUGGCGGCAUGCUUUACACAUGCAAGUCGAACGGUAACAGGCCGCAAGGUGCUGACGAGUGGCGAACGGGUGCGUAAUGCAUCGGAACGUGCCCCGUCGUGGGGGGUAACUACUCGAAAGAGUAGCUAAUACCGCAUACGAUCUAUGGAUGAAAGCGGGGGGCCGUAAGGCCUCGCGCGAUUGGAGCGGCCGCUGUCAGAUUAGGUAGUUGGUGGGGUAAAGGCUCACCAAGCCAACGAUCUGUAGCUGGUCUGAGAGGACGACCAGCCACACUGGAACUGAGACACGGCCCAGACUCCUACGGGAGGCAGCAGUGGGGAAUUUUGGACAAUGGGCGAAAGCCUGAUCCAGCAAUGCCGCGUGCAGGAAGAAGGCCUUCGGAUUGUAAACUGCUUUUGUACGGAACGAAACGGCUCUGGUUAAUACCCGGGGAUAAUGACGGUACCGUAAGAAUAAGCACCGGCUAACUACGUG
This 482-nucleotide ribosomal RNA is filed under the name uncultured bacterium. RNAcentral describes it as "partial 16S ribosomal RNA". It matches the Rfam family "Bacterial small subunit ribosomal RNA", at positions 30 to 507 of the family's 1533-position model. The record is from RNAcentral.